CGUACCCGAAGGACCGCGGGCCCGAGAGAGGGAUCCCGAGUAAUGCCGGACACGUGAAACCCGGUAUGAAUCUGGGGGGACCACCCUCCAAGGCUAAGCACUCUCCUAUGACCGAUAGCGAACCAGUACCGUGAGGGAAAGGUGAAAAGCACCCCGAGAGGGGAGUGAAACAGUACCUGAAACCGUGUGCCUACAAGCAGUCGGAGCAGCCAUGCGCUGUGACGGCGUGCCUUUUGUAGAAUGAGCCAGCGAGUUGCGGUUGGCGGCGAGGUUAAGGCGUGAACCGAGCCGCAGUGAAAGCGAGCCUUUAAGAUGGCGAUCAGUCGCCAGCCGCAGACGCGAAGCCGGGUGAUCUAUCCAUGGGCAGGCUGAGGCAGAGGUAAGACUCUGUGGAGGGCCGAACCCACUUCGGUUGAAAACGGAGGGGAUGACCUGUGGAUAGGGGUGAAAGGCCAAUCAAACCCGGAGAUAUCUCGUUCUCCCCGAAAUAGCUUUAGGGCUAGCCUCGAUCGCUUACCGACGGUGGUAGAGCACUGGAUCCGUGCGGGGGCCUCACCGCCUACCAACCGAAACCAAACUCCGAAUGCCGUCGGUCCCGAGAUCGGGAGUCAGAACAUGUGGGCUAAGCCGUGUGUUCGAGAGGGAAACAGCCCAGACCGCCUGCUAAGGUCCCCAAAUCAACGCUGAGUGGCAAAGGAUGUGCGUUUGCCUAGACAACCAGGAUGUUGGCUUAGAAGCAGCCAUGCAUUUAAAGAGUGCGUAACAGCUCACUGGUCAAGUGGACAUGCGCCGACAAUACACGGGGCUAAGCGUUGUACCGAAGCAGCGGACUGUUUUAUCAGUGGUAGGGGAGCUUUCCAUGCCGGGGCGAAGCCGACGGGCGACCGUCGGUGGACUGCAUGGAAGUGAGAAUGCUGGCAUGAGUAACGAGAGAGGGGCGAGAAACCCCUCCGCCGUAAGCCUAAGGGUUCCUGGGCAAGGCUAAUCCCCCCAGGGUCAGUCGGGAGCUAAGGCGAGGCCGACAGGCGUAGCCGAUGCACAACAGGCGGACAUUCCUGUACCACCGCGGAGCGUUACUACGACGGGGUGACGGAGAAGGGUAGCCGGGCGGGGUUCUGGACGUCCCCGUGAAAGCGCGUAGGCCGCAGGGCAGGCAAAUCCGCCCUGCAGCGAGGCCGAGACGUUAGACGAAGCUUCAUGUGAAGCCGGCGAGCCCAUGCUUCCGAGAAAAACCUCUAAGGAGCGAGGCGGUGCCCGUACCAAAACCGACACAGGUAGGCGGGUAGAGCAUACCAAGGCGAUCGGGAGAACCAUGGUUAAGGAACUCGGCAUACUGACUCCGUAACUUCGGGAGAAGGAGUGCCCCCGCCUGUGAGGUCCCACGCGGACGGAGCGGGAGGGGGUCGCAGCGAAACGGCCCAAGCGACUGUUUACCAAAAACACAGGACUCUGCAAAGCCGCAAGGCGACGUAUAGGGUCUGACGCCUGCCCGGUGCUGGAAGGUUACGCGGAUGAGUUAGCGCAAGCGAAGCCCUGAAGCCAAGCCCCAGUAAACGGCGGCCGUAACUAUAACGGUCCUAAGGUAGCGAAAUUCCUUGUCGGGUAAGUUCCGACCUGCACGAAUGGCGUAACGACUUGGGCGCUGUCUCAACCAUGGACCCGGUGAAAUUGUAUUAUUCGUGAAGAUGCGAAUUACCUGCGGAAGGACGGAAAGACCCCGUGAACCUUCACUGCAGCUUGG
Molecule: ribosomal RNA, 1741 nt
Filed under: human gut metagenome
Description: bacterial LSU rRNA
Rfam family: Bacterial large subunit ribosomal RNA
Source: RNAcentral